This 483-nucleotide ribosomal RNA is filed under the name Paruroctonus silvestrii. Its description in RNAcentral is "partial 16S ribosomal RNA". It matches the Rfam family "Bacterial large subunit ribosomal RNA", at positions 1888 to 2600 of the family's 2925-position model. Lineage: Eukaryota; Metazoa; Arthropoda; Arachnida; Scorpiones; Vaejovidae. The record is from RNAcentral.
GGUUUUUAGAUUUUAUUAAAAAUCAAGCCUGCUCAAUGCUUAGUAAAUAGCCGCAGAAUUUUAACUGUGCAAAGGUAGCAUAAUCACUUGUCUUUUAAUUGAGGACUAGAAUGAAAGGUUUAACUAUGUAAUUUUGUCUUAUAGUAAUAUUUCGAAUUUUAUUUUUUAGUAAAAAAGCUAAAAUAUAUCUUAAAGACGAGAAGACCCUAUUAAGCUUUACAAUUUUAUGUUAUUUUCAAACUAAUAAAAAAAUUGUUUUGCUGGGGCAGCAAAUAAAAAAAAAUAUUAUUUUAAUAUUGUGAUAAAUAAAUCUAGAAAAAUCAAUAAUUUAUUAAAAAAUAACAAGUUACUAUAGGGAUAACAGCAUAAUUUUUUUAAAGAGUUCUCAUCAACAAAAAAGUUUGUGACCUCGAUGUUGGAUUAAGAGUCCUAUUUUACGCAAUAGUAAAAAAAGGAAGUCUGUUCGACUUUUAAAUUCUUCCA